This 272-nucleotide long non-coding RNA is filed under the name Brassica napus (rape). RNAcentral's name for it is "long non-coding RNA (BNAP_LNC024344)". The record is from RNAcentral. Lineage: Eukaryota; Viridiplantae; Streptophyta; Magnoliopsida; Brassicales; Brassicaceae.
GAGGCCCAACAUAUGGAUAAAAUAAAUAAAUUCCAAUUUUAAACAAAAAUAUAGAGAGGAAAAUUAAAAUAGACAUUUAUUAAUAUGGACACAAAGCUGUUCGUUAGCUUUCCUUCCGUUAACGUCCACAAGGCAAGUUCGCGGCCAAGUCUUUUGUUUUGGUCACUUUCACCAACCCUUGCGUCCGACACAUCUACCUUAUUUAUUUCACUUUAAAUAAUUUCUUCUAUUUCAAAUUUUAUUUUUUAUUAUUUAUUACUCAACAUCCAUAG